CCCUUAGAUGUCCUGGGCGGCCCGCGCGCUACAAUGUCAGCUACUGAAGGUUAAUGCUUUGAAAGAGAGCGCGCUCUCCUUUUAAUUGCUCGCAUGCUGGGAUAAAUGAAUGCAAUUUUGUUUUGAACGAGGAAUUCCUAGUAGCCAUGUUUCACUAGAAGAUGGCGAGUGCGUCCCUGCCCUUUGUACACACCGCCCGUCGCUCCUACCGAUGAGCGUUUUGGCGAAGACGGUUUGAGUAGCUGCGUAAUUUCGUGUUGUUGACUCCGGCAGUUUGAGCCUUCACGUUUAGAGGAAGGAGAAGUCGUAACA
Molecule: ribosomal RNA, 312 nt
Filed under: uncultured eukaryote
Lineage: Eukaryota
Description: partial 18S ribosomal RNA
Rfam family: Eukaryotic small subunit ribosomal RNA
Source: RNAcentral